AUUGAACGCUGGCGGCAGGCCUAACACAUGCAAGUCGAGCGAGCGGCGGACGGGUGAGUAAUGUCUGGGAAACUGCCCGAUGGAGGGGGAUAACUACUGGAAACGGUAGCUAAUACCGCAUACCAUCGGAUGUGCCCAGAUGGGAUUAGCUUGUAGGUGAGGUAACGGCUCACCUAGGCGACGAUCCCUAGCUGGUCUGAUAGGAUGACCAGCCACACUGGAACUGAGACACGGUCCAGGCUCGUACGGGAGGCAGCAGUGGGGAUGAGUGCACAAUGGGCGCAAGCCUGAGGCAGCCAGGCCGCGGGUAUGAAGAAGGCGUUCGGGUUGUAAAGUACUUUCAGCGGGGAGGCGUUACCCGCAGAAGAAGCACCGGCUAACUCCGUGCCAGCCGCCGCGGUAAUAC
RNAcentral lists this ribosomal RNA (406 nucleotides) under uncultured bacterium. Its description in RNAcentral is "partial 16S ribosomal RNA". It matches the Rfam family "Bacterial small subunit ribosomal RNA", at positions 29 to 526 of the family's 1533-position model. The record is from RNAcentral.